RNAcentral lists this ribosomal RNA (301 nucleotides) under uncultured bacterium. RNAcentral describes it as "partial 16S ribosomal RNA". It matches the Rfam family "Bacterial small subunit ribosomal RNA", at positions 509 to 809 of the family's 1533-position model. The record is from RNAcentral.
CAGUCGCCACGGUAAUACGAAGGGGGCUAGCGUUGUUCGGAAUUACUGGGCGUAAAGCGCACGUAGGCGGAUAUUUAAGUCAGGGGUGAAAUCCCGCAGCUCAACUGCGGAACUGCCUUUGAUACUGGGUAUCUUGAGUAUGGAAGAGGUUAGUGGAAUUGCGAGUGUAGAGGUGAAAUUCGUAGAUAUUCGGAAGAACACCAGUGGCGAAGGCGGCUCACUGGACCGGCAUUGACGCUGAGGUGCGAAAGCGUGGGGAGCAAACAGGAUUAGAUACCCCUGUAGUCCCUGUCUCUUAUAA